This 253-nucleotide ribosomal RNA is filed under the name uncultured bacterium. RNAcentral's name for it is "partial 16S ribosomal RNA". It matches the Rfam family "Bacterial small subunit ribosomal RNA", at positions 524 to 776 of the family's 1533-position model. The record is from RNAcentral.
UACGGGGGGGGCAAGCGUUGUGCGGAAUUACUGGGCGUAAAGGGCUCGUAGGCGGCCAACUAAGUCAGACGUGAAAUCCCUCGGCUUAACCGGGGAACUGCGUCUGAUACUGGUUGGCUUGAAUCCGGGAGAGGGAUGUGGAAUUCCAGGUGUAGCGGUGAAAUGCGUAGAUAUCUGGAGGAACACCGGUGGCGAAGGCGGCAUCCUGGACCGGUAUUGACGCUGAGGAGCGAAAGCCAGGGGAGCAAACGGG